Molecule: long non-coding RNA, 214 nt
Organism: Erinaceus europaeus (western European hedgehog)
Lineage: Eukaryota; Metazoa; Chordata; Mammalia; Eulipotyphla; Erinaceidae
Exons: 2
Source: RefSeq, a predicted model, not a curated record
AUAGAUACUACUGCUACUAUAGAUACUACUGCAUACCACAGGUACUACUACUACUAUAGAUACUACUACGUACUAUAGGUACUACUACAUACUAUAGAUACUACUGCUAGUAUAGAUACUACUGCAUACCACAGGUACUACUACUACUACUAUGGAUACUACUAUGUACUAUAGGUACUACUACAUACUAUAGAUACUACUGCUACUAUAGAUA